Paramisgurnus dabryanus is the source of this 799-nucleotide long non-coding RNA. RefSeq lists it as uncharacterized. The record is from RefSeq and is a predicted model, not a curated record. NCBI's taxonomy places the organism in Eukaryota, Metazoa, Chordata, Actinopteri, Cypriniformes, Cobitidae.
CGCUUCUUGCUUUGGCAUUCACGCUAAUAGUGUUGUAAAUAACGUUCAGUUUCUUGCAAAAACUGAUUGAUUUGCUUCACAAGACGUCAAUAUGUCACACGGAGUUAUGGGGGAUUACUUUUGUAUUGGAUAUAUAUGCUUUAGCUCCCAAAGUGUGCGGAUCGGUUGACUUGCAUGACGGAGCACUGGGCGUAUAUAUUUUAAUUGUAAUAAUAAGUAAUUUUAGUUGUUUGUUUUAUUUCAUUAUGAUUGUUUGUUUGCUGUUUAAAUGAUAAAUAUAAUAUUAUAGUCAGUUGGUCAGCCCGCUUGUUAGAAAAGCUCUUGCAAAUAUCUUGUCUGAGGUCAUUGACACUGCUGUGACAUGUACAUCUAGGAUGCGGACUAUCCAGAUGAGCUUCACACAAAUGCCAGCACACCGACAGUGGAAGACACGAGUCAGGACUCUCCCCCCACGAGAUCCCUACUCAUAACCGUUUCUCCCCCCUUAAUGAGACCGGAUGCUCUGUUGGGAUCACCGGGGACUCCAUCGUUUGGCAUGUACACGCUACAUCAGGUGUAGGUAAGACGCACACUCACUGCUUCCCUGGUGCUUUUGUUCUCUCUGUUUCUGCGCAGGCGCCUGGAUAAUGAAGACUGACAAAAGCAUUGAGAAGUCCAGCAGUCGGAGAUCCUAAAGAGGGAUUCCAUAAGUUUAGUCGAGGCAGUACACCGUACAUCUCCUUUGAUUUUCAUCAGUCCUCCAGUCAAAUUAAAUUUCAAGGUAAGAUUGCUUUACAUGUCUUUCAUUGUGCUUUAGUGA